UACAGAGGGUGCGAGCGUUGUUCGGAAUUACUGGGCGCAAAGCGCGCGCAGGCGGCCUUUUAAGUCUCGUGGUGAAAUGCCGGGGCUCAACCCCGUGCCCGCCGGAGAUACUGGGAGGCUGGAGACAUGUAGAGGCAAGCGGAAUUCCGGGUGUAGCGGUGGAAUGCGUAGAGAUCCGGAAGAACACCGGAGGCGAAGGCGGCUUGCUGGGCAUUGUCUGACGCUGAGGCGCGAAAGCGUGGGGAGCGAACAGG
Molecule: ribosomal RNA, 254 nt
Filed under: uncultured bacterium
Lineage: Bacteria
Description: partial 16S ribosomal RNA
Rfam family: Bacterial small subunit ribosomal RNA
Source: RNAcentral